Molecule: ribosomal RNA, 407 nt
Filed under: uncultured bacterium
Lineage: Bacteria
Description: bacterial SSU rRNA
Rfam family: Bacterial small subunit ribosomal RNA
Source: RNAcentral
UGGGGAAUAUUGCACAAUGGGCGAAAGCCUGAUGCAGCAACGCCGCGUGAGUGAUGAAGGCCUUCGGAUUGUAAACCUCUUUCAGCAGGGACGAAGCGAAAGUGACUGUACCUGCAGAAGAAGCACCGGCUAACUACGUGCCAGCAGCCGCGGUAAUACGUAGGGUGCAAGCGUUGUCCGGAUUUAUUGGGCGUAAAGAGCUCGUAGGCGGUUCGUCACGUCGGAUGUGAAAACCUGGGGCUUAACCCCGGGCCUGCAUACGAUACGGGCGAACUAGAGUUCGGUAGGGGAGACUGGAAUUCCUGGUGUAGCGGUGAAAUGCGCAGAUAUCAGGAGGAACACCGGUGGCGAAGGCGGGUCUCUGGGCCGAUACUGACGCUGAGGAGCGAAAGCGUGGGGAGCAAACA